AACGCUAAUUCAGCAUCUGAUAAUGGCAAUGGAAACAACGGUGGUAAUGGGGGAAACAAUGGAUCCAAUAAUAAUGCACAAGCAGAUUCAGCAGCAGAUUCCACAACUGGAGUUAGGGAUUCAGGCUCUGGUUCUGGUUCAGGUUCAUCAUCUGAAGCAGGCGAUAACGGUGACAGUACAGGAGAUUCAAGUGCAGCAGCAUCCGCAGCCGCAGCAGCAGCAGCAGCAGCAGGAAACGCGAAUGGUGCAGAUGAUAGUACUGGGGAUGCUUUAGGUCUUGUUUCAUCAGCAACAGCAACAGCCAAGGCAGCAGCAGAUUCAGCUAAAAACUUAUUAUCCGGUACAGAUACAGAUAGUUUCGCAUCAACAUCAGCUUUAUCCGAUGCCUUUUCAUCAUCUGGAGGUUCAUCAUCGUCUGGAGGUUCAUCAUCUUCAGGAGGUUCAUCAUCAUCUGGAGGUUCAUCAUCUUCUUCAGGAGGCUCAUCAUCUUCAGGAGAUUCAUCAUCAUCUGGAG
Molecule: long non-coding RNA, 514 nt
Filed under: Lupinus mutabilis
Lineage: Eukaryota; Viridiplantae; Streptophyta; Magnoliopsida; Fabales; Fabaceae
Description: partial ncRNA
Source: RNAcentral